This 494-nucleotide ribosomal RNA is filed under the name uncultured bacterium. RNAcentral describes it as "partial 16S ribosomal RNA". It matches the Rfam family "Bacterial small subunit ribosomal RNA", at positions 28 to 507 of the family's 1533-position model. The record is from RNAcentral.
GACGAACGCUGGCGGCGUGCUUAACACAUGCAAGUCGAACGGAAAGGCCUGCUUUCCCUUGUGGAUUGCGGGUACUCGAGUGGCGAACGGGUGAGUAACACGUGAGUGAUCUGCCCCCAACUUGGGUAUAAGCCUGGGAAACUGGGUCUAAUUCCCGAUAGGACUGCAGGGUGGUGCCUGUGGUGGAAAACGAUUUUCUAGUGGUUGGGGAUGAGCUCGCGGCCUAUCAGCUUGUUGGUGGGGUAAUGGCCUACCAAGGCGGCGACGGGUAGCCGGCCGGAGAGGGUGGACGGCCACAUUGGGACUGGGAUACGGCCCAGACUCCUACGGGAGGCAGCAGUGGGGAAUAUUGCACAAUGGGCGGAAGCCUGAUGCAGCGACGCCGCGUGGGGGAUGACGGCCUUCGGGUGGUAAACUCCUUUCGACCGCGAGGAAGCCACCUGGUUGGAAGGGUGGUGACGGUAGUGGUAGAAGAAGCACCGGCUAACUACGUG